AUACGGAGGGUGCUAGCGUUAUUCGGAUUUACUGGGCGUAAAGGGCGCGUAGGCGGCUUGAUAAGUCAGAUGUGAAAACCCGGGGCUUAACCCCGGAAGUGCAUUUGAAACUAUUAGGCUUGAGUAUGGGAGAGGGAAGUGGAAUUCCUGGUGUAGCGGUGAAAUGCGUAGAUAUCAGGAGGAACACCGGUGGCGAAGGCGACUUCCUGGACCAAUACUGACGCUGAGGCGCGAAGGCGUGGGGAGCAAACAGGAUUAGAAACCCCAGUAGUCC
RNAcentral lists this ribosomal RNA (274 nucleotides) under uncultured bacterium. RNAcentral's name for it is "partial 16S ribosomal RNA". It matches the Rfam family "Bacterial small subunit ribosomal RNA", at positions 523 to 796 of the family's 1533-position model. The record is from RNAcentral.